UGCAUUUGAAAACAUGAUUUUAAGCAGGGGUCCUUCAUCUUCUGCAGUUGAUACAGGUGGUGUAGACUGUCAUAAAAGUUUGGAAGUCUUGCCUUAAAUUAUCUCAUCAUCAUGCCCAUUUCAUUAGAUGCCUUUCCUUUAUUCAUUCAAGACAAAUGUUCUGAAUAUCCACAAUAUACCAGAUAUGCAUAGAUCACUGGAAAUACAAACACAGAGCCAGACAUGGUGGCACAUGCCUGUAAUUCCAGCAAUUUGGGAGGCUGAAACAGGAGGAUUGUGAGUUCAAGGACAGCCUCAGCAACUUAUCAAGACCAUGUCUCAGAAUAAAAAAUAAAAGGGGAUGUAGCUUAGUGGCGGAGCACUCUGGAUUCAAUCCCCAACAAAACACACACACACACACACACACACACACACACGAAAAAGAAAAAGUGAGAAAGGCACAUGUGCUCUGACAUUGACCUGGUCACUGCCUGGCCAGAUCCCAAUCUCCAGCCACCUUGCCAGAUGCUGGAAAGGCAAGAUCCAUGAGGCUCAGAAAGCUUAAGAUGGGGCAAGUUUACCAUGCUAGAAGAACACAGGUUCUCCCUUGGGAAGUAGGGUAAUGGUAAGACCCAGGGGAGAGGAGGUGUGGCCUUAGCAUAGUCAUCAUCAUAUGCAAAUGACUCUGUUAAAGGAGCCGCCUGUCCCCUGUAAAACUCAGUGAGAGAGGCCCUGGGAUGACAAGGGCAAGCAGUGAUAGGCCCUCAUAAACCUUGCUGGGAAUUUGGGCUUUAACCCUCAAAAUUGUGCCUGAUUUCUAAGGCAGAAAGAGGAGUGGAGGUUGGGGUUGUAUUUACAUUUUGUAAUGGUCAUUUGGGCAGGAAAGGAGAGCGGGGUGGAAAGAAUAAGAGGGGGACCAGUAAGAGGCUCUUUGAGGGUAAAAGGGUCCAGAAUACACCACUGUGGCAUAAAAUGUAUUUGAGCUAAAGACAUUCGGAAUAGCCUUUUAACUAAACUCCUUUAUGUGCCUAAAGAUAAUCUCAUAAAAAAACUCAGUUGUUGUAAUUGACUCCCAGGGAGCAAACCAGGAAAAGAUUAACUCUUAGACUCUUAUCACUGGAGAAGUCUUGCACCACACCCAAAUAGACAUUCUCACAAAACAGGUCACAAAUUGUAUUAUUUUUCCCUAAAAGUCAUUUGUUUGCUGGCAAAUGUCCAUCUUUUCCUUCCUCUAUUAUGUUGAUAGGUAUAUGAGCCCCCAAGUUCUAACUGCCUAGCAUAUAAAUUAAAAAAAUCUGAGGCUGGGGUUGUGGCUCAG
RNAcentral lists this long non-coding RNA (1297 nucleotides) under Marmota monax (woodchuck). Lineage: Eukaryota; Metazoa; Chordata; Mammalia; Rodentia; Sciuridae. The record is from RNAcentral.